This 857-nucleotide ribosomal RNA is filed under the name uncultured bacterium. Its description in RNAcentral is "bacterial SSU rRNA". It matches the Rfam family "Bacterial small subunit ribosomal RNA", at positions 8 to 858 of the family's 1533-position model. The record is from RNAcentral.
AGAGUUUGAUCCUUGUUUCAGGAAUGAACGCUUAGCGGGCAGGCUUUACCCCAUGCAAGUUGAGGGGCAGCAUGUCCAGCAAUGGAUGAUGGCGACCGGCGGAAGGGUGCGUAACGCGUGAGCAACAUGCCCUAUACAGGGAGAUACACCAGGGAAACUUGGUCUAAUAUCCCAUAGCAUUCAUUGAAGGCAUCUUUAAUGAAUUAAAGCUUCGGUGGUAUAGGAUUGGCUCGCGUGACAUUAGCCAGAUGGUGAGGUAACGGCUCACCAUAGCAAUGAUGUCUAGGGGUUUUGAGAGGAAGGCCCCCCACACUGGGACUGAGACACGGCCCAGACUCCUACGGGAGGCAGCAGUGAGGAAUAUUGGACAAUGGAUGGAAAUCUGAUCCAGCCAUGCCGCGUGCAGGAAGACGGCCUUAUGGGUUGUAAACUGCUUUUAUACGGGAGCAAUAAGGGUUACGAGUAAUCCGAUGAGAGUACUGUAUGAAUAAGGAUCGGCUAACUCCGUGCCAGCAGCCGCGGUAAUACGGAGGAUCCGAGCGUUAUCCGGAAUUAUUGGGUUUAAAGGGUGCGUAGGCGGCCAUUUAAGUCAGCGGUGAAAUUUUGCAGCUUAACUGUAACAGUGCCGUUGAUACUGUUUGGCUAGGAUUUGGUUGUAGUGUGCGGAAUGUGUGGUGUAGCGGUGAAAUGCUUAGAUAUCACACAGAACACCGAUUGCGAAGGCAGCACACUAAGUCAUUAUUGACGCUGAGGCACGAAAGUGUGGGGAUCAAACAGGAUUAGAUACCCUGGUAGUCCACACUGUAAACGAUGAUAACUCGCUGUCGGCGAUACACAGUCGGUGGCCAAGCGAAAGC